UGGGGAAUCUUCCGCAAUGGACGAAAGUCUGACGGAGCAACGCCGCGUGAGUGAAGAAGGUUUUCGGAUCGUAAAGCUCUGUUUUCAGGGACGAACGGCAGAAAUAUGAAUAAUAUAUCUGCAUGACGGUACCUGAGGAGGAAGCCACGGCUAACUACGUGCCAGCAGCCGCGGUAAUACGUAGGUGGCAAGCGUUGUCCGGAAUUAUUGGGCGUAAAGGGCGUGUAGGCGGGAUAAUAAGUCUGUUGUAAAAGUGCGGGGCUCAACCCCGUAAGGUCAAUGGAAACUGUUAUUCUUGAGUGCAGGAGAGGAAAGUGGAAUUCCCAGUGUAGCGGUGAAAUGCGUAGAUAUUGGGAGGAACACCAGUGGCGAAGGCGACUUUCCGGACUGUGUCUGACGCUGAGGCGCGAAAGCCAGGGGAGCGAACG
This 428-nucleotide ribosomal RNA is filed under the name uncultured bacterium. RNAcentral describes it as "bacterial SSU rRNA". It matches the Rfam family "Bacterial small subunit ribosomal RNA", at positions 355 to 774 of the family's 1533-position model. The record is from RNAcentral.